GAUAUAUUUAUCUUACACGCCGAUCAUACGAGGCAUAGCGUGUUCCGGUGGCGAGACAACCUACGCUAUUAAAAGAUCACGGAGAUUCGGGGAAGUUUAAGUGUGCACUGUGAUAAUGGGUGUGGUGGAUUCAGUGAGGGGCUUUUUGUAUUUCUGGUAUCUCCAGUAUACACUCAACACCAGUAUUUACAUGCUGGAGCCUCUGGAACAAGCUCUGUUCAACAUAUUUUUAGUAUGUCUCCUAUCCAUUAGUGCCUAUACAUUCUAUGUAUUUGUGCCAAUUCAUGUUGUCCAGUUUUAUGAACUUGUACUCGGUCUCCGAUCCUCGUCUUGAGCGACAUGGUCUGCUUUUCAACACUUGAAGUCAGUUUUCUUGCCACCGGUUGAUAUUAUAUACAGUGGUUGUUACACAGGCACAACGACGGACGAGGAAACUAGAGUCUUAACAUCUUGUAGCGUUCAGGAUAUGCGACAACAUCUGACAUUUUUAGCAGAUUACAUGUACUGUAUAUUUAAUGUUCGUUUGUAAUUGUAUAUGGCUAAUUAUGGAAGUGUUUUGGGUAUAUAUCCGUGGAAGGAAACUGAACGUUCGGGGCUGCUUGUAUUUACAAACAAUAUACGUUUCUCAUGAAAUGUGUUCAACUUGUAGAGUAUUAUAAAAAUGUUGGAUUCUGUUUGAUAAAUUAUUUAAUAAAAUGUUAUAUGUGGCAGAA
This is a long non-coding RNA of Saccostrea echinata, 713 nucleotides long. RefSeq lists it as uncharacterized. The record is from RefSeq and is a predicted model, not a curated record. Lineage: Eukaryota; Metazoa; Mollusca; Bivalvia; Ostreida; Ostreidae. The transcript has 2 exons.